CCUGAUGCAGCGACGCCGCGUGAGGGAUGACGGCCUUCGGGUUGUAAACCUCUUUCAGCAGGGAAGAAGCGAGAGUGACGGUACCUGCAGAAGAAGCGCCGGCUAACUACGUGCCAGCAGCCGCGGUAAUACGUAGGGCGCAAGCGUUGUCCGGAAUUAUUGGGCGUAAAGAGCUCGUAGGCGGCUUGUCACGUCGGGUGUGAAAGCCCGGGGCUUAACCCCGGGUCUGCAUUCGAUACGGGCUAGCUAGAGUGUGGUAGGGGAGAUCGGAAUUCCUGGUGUAGCGGUGAAAUGCGCAGAUAUCAGGAGGAACACCGGUGGCGAAGGCGGAUCUCUGGGCCAUUACUGACGCUGAGGAGCGAAAGCGUGGGGAGCGAACAGGAUUAGAUACCCUGGUAGUCCACGCCGUAAACGGUGGGAACUAGGUGUUGGCGACAUUCCACGUCGUCGGUGCCGCAGCUAACGCAUUAAGUUCCCCGCCUGGGGAGUACGGCCGCAAGGCUAAAACUCAAAGGAAUUGACGGGGGCCCGCACAAGCAGCGGAGCAUGUGGCUUAAUUCGACGCAACGCGAAGAACCUUACCAAGGCUUGACAUACACCGGAAACGGCCAGAGAUGGUCGCCCCCUUGUGGUC
Molecule: ribosomal RNA, 634 nt
Filed under: Streptomyces sp. Ri1Pw_5593
Lineage: Bacteria; Bacillati; Actinomycetota; Actinomycetes; Kitasatosporales; Streptomycetaceae
Description: bacterial SSU rRNA
Rfam family: Bacterial small subunit ribosomal RNA
Source: RNAcentral